GGGCGAUUAGCUCAGCGGUAGAGCACCUCCCUUACAAGGAGAUUGUCGCUGGUUCGAUCCCAGCAUCGCCCA
The sequence is a transfer RNA, 72 nucleotides long. It matches the Rfam family "tRNA". Rfam says of the family: Transfer RNA (tRNA) molecules are approximately 80 nucleotides in length. Their secondary structure includes four short double-helical elements and three loops (D, anti-codon, and T loops). The record is from Rfam.